RNAcentral lists this ribosomal RNA (1059 nucleotides) under Kocuria turfanensis. Its description in RNAcentral is "bacterial SSU rRNA". It matches the Rfam family "Bacterial small subunit ribosomal RNA", at positions 70 to 1138 of the family's 1533-position model. The record is from RNAcentral. Lineage: Bacteria; Bacillati; Actinomycetota; Actinomycetes; Micrococcales; Micrococcaceae.
UGAUCUCCCGCUUGCGGGGGUGAUUAGUGGCGAACGGGUGAGUAAUACGUGAGUAACCUGCCCUUGACUCUGGGAUAAGCCUGGGAAACCGGGUCUAAUACUGGAUACGACCCUCUGUCGCAUGGUGGGGGGUGGAAAGGGUUUGACUGGUUUUGGAUGGGCUCACGGCCUAUCAGCUUGUUGGUGGGGUAAUGGCUCACCAAGGCGACGACGGGUAGCCGGCCUGAGAGGGUGACCGGCCACACUGGGACUGAGACACGGCCCAGACUCCUACGGGAGGCAGCAGUGGGGAAUAUUGCACAAUGGGCGGAAGCCUGAUGCAGCGACGCCGCGUGAGGGAUGACGGCCUUCGGGUUGUAAACCUCUUUCAGCAGGGAAGAAGCCACAAGUGACGGUACCUGCAGAAGAAGCGCCGGCUAACUACGUGCCAGCAGCCGCGGUAAUACGUAGGGCGCAAGCGUUGUCCGGAAUUAUUGGGCGUAAAGAGCUCGUAGGCGGUUUGUCGCGUCUGCUGUGAAAGCCCGGGGCUCAACCCCGGGUCUGCAGUGGGUACGGGCAGACUAGAGUGCAGUAGGGGAGACUGGAAUUCCUGGUGUAGCGGUGAAAUGCGCAGAUAUCAGGAGGAACACCGAUGGCGAAGGCAGGUCUCUGGGCUGUUACUGACGCUAAGGAGCGAAAGCAUGGGGAGCGAACAGGAUUAGAUACCCUGGUAGUCCAUGCCGUAAACGUUGGGCACUAGGUGUGGGGGACAUUCCACGUUCUCCGCGCCGUAGCUAACGCAUUAAGUGCCCCGCCUGGGGAGUACGGCCGCAAGGCUAAAACUCAAAGGAAUUGACGGGGGCCCGCACAAGCGGCGGAGCAUGCGGAUUAAUUCGAUGCAACGCGAAGAACCUUACCAAGGCUUGACAUUCACCGGACCGCCUCACAGAUGGGGUUUCUCUUCGGGGUCGGUGGACAGGUGGUGCAUGGUUGUCGUCAGCUCGUGUCGUGAGAUGUUGGGUUAAGUCCCGCAACGAGCGCAACCCUCGUUCUAUGUUGCCAGCACGUGAUGGUGGGGAC